RNAcentral lists this ribosomal RNA (236 nucleotides) under uncultured bacterium. Its description in RNAcentral is "partial 16S ribosomal RNA". It matches the Rfam family "Bacterial small subunit ribosomal RNA", at positions 118 to 350 of the family's 1533-position model. The record is from RNAcentral.
UGAGUAACCUGCCCUUCACUCUGGGAUAACUCCGGGAAACCGGGGCUAAUACUGGAUAUGACUCGAACAGGCAUCUGUUUCGGGUGGAAAGAUUUAUUGGUGGAGGAUGGACUCGCGGCCUAUCAGCUUGUUGGUGAGGUAAUGGCUCACCAAGGCGACGACGGGUAGCCGGCCUGAGAGGGCGAUCGGCCACACUGGGACUGGAGACACCGGCCCAGACCUCCGUACGGGGAGCA